This is a long non-coding RNA of Oreochromis aureus, 472 nucleotides long. The record is from Ensembl. NCBI's taxonomy places the organism in Eukaryota, Metazoa, Chordata, Actinopteri, Cichliformes, Cichlidae.
CUUCGAUGUGUCACUGUGACUGUUGCAAAUGGACCAAUAACAACCACAACAACUACCACCAGUAACGUUUACUUUGACAUUGACAGUAUACCAACUACUCCAACUACUACCACUACUACAACUACUCCAACUACAACAACUACUACCAGUACUACAACUACUACAACUACAACAGCUACUACCAGUACUACAACUACUACAACUACUCCAACUACUACCAGUACUACAACUACUCCAACUACAACAACUACUACCAGUACUCCAACUACUCCAACUACUACUAGUACUACAACUACUCCAACUACUACCAGUACUACCAGUACUACAACUACUCCAACUACAACAACUACCACCAGUACUCCAAUUACUACACCUACAUCAACUACACCCAGUGAACCAUCUGAUGUUACAGUUCUCAAAUUGAAGAUGACCUCUUUGGUGGACUUGUCUAAAAUUGAUAGAGAUACAUUCC